RNAcentral lists this ribosomal RNA (468 nucleotides) under uncultured bacterium. Its description in RNAcentral is "partial 16S ribosomal RNA". It matches the Rfam family "Bacterial small subunit ribosomal RNA", at positions 28 to 507 of the family's 1533-position model. The record is from RNAcentral.
GACGAACGCUGGCGGCGUGCUUAACACAUGCAAGUCGAACGGAAAGGCCCUGCUUUUGUGGGGUGCUCGAGUGGCGAACGGGUGAGUAACACGUGAGUAACCUGCCCUUGACUUUGGGAUAACUUCAGGAAACUGGGGCUAAUACCGGAUAGGAGCUCCUGCUGCAUGGUGGGGGUUGGAAAGUUCCGGCGGUUGGGGAUGGACUCGCGGCUUAUCAGCUUGUUGGUGGGGUAGUGGCUUACCAAGGCUUUGACGGGUAGCCGGCCUGAGAGGGUGACCGGCCACAUUGGGACUGAGAUACGGCCCAGACUCCUACGGGAGGCAGCAGUGGGGAAUAUUGCACAAUGGGCGGAAGCCUGAUGCAGCAACGCCGCGUGCGGGAUGACGGCCUUCGGGUUGUAAACCGCUUUCGCCUGUGACGAAGCGUGAGUGACGGUAAUGGGUAAAGAAGCACCGGCUAGCUACGUG